AUUCUUUCGCAGUGGCAGUAUCAUAACCUAUGAGGGUUUAUAUGAGGUGUGAUUAUUGCUGGUUGAAAACUUUAACCCAAUGCCUGCCUUGAUGACUUGAAAUAUAGUCAGCAAUGGCAAUUUUUGGUGAUCUCUACGGAGA
Molecule: small nuclear RNA, 142 nt
Filed under: Acanthochromis polyacanthus (spiny chromis)
Lineage: Eukaryota; Metazoa; Chordata; Actinopteri; Pomacentridae
Description: U4 spliceosomal RNA (ENSAPOG00000002463.1)
Rfam family: U4 spliceosomal RNA
About the family: U4 small nuclear RNA (U4 snRNA) is a component of the major U2-dependent spliceosome. The structure of U4 snRNA from yeast and human has been reported.
Source: Rfam by way of RNAcentral